This 640-nucleotide ribosomal RNA is filed under the name uncultured bacterium. RNAcentral's name for it is "bacterial SSU rRNA". It matches the Rfam family "Bacterial small subunit ribosomal RNA", at positions 25 to 657 of the family's 1533-position model. The record is from RNAcentral.
CAGAAAUUAACUGCGGAGGCUACACAUGCAAGUCGAGCGGAUGAAGGGAGCUUGCUUCACUGGAUUCAGCGGCGGACGGGUGAGUAAUGCCUAGGAAUCUGCCUGGUAGUGGGGGAUAACGUCCGGAAACGGGCGCUAAUACCGCAUACGUCCUGAGGGAGAAAGUGGGGGAUCUUCGGACCUCACGCUAUCAGACUGAGCCUAGGUCGGAUUAGCUAGCUUGGUGGGGUAAAGGCCUACCANGGGCGACGAUCCGUAACUGGUCUGAGAGGAUGAUCAGUCACACUGGAACUGAGACACGGUCCAGACUCCUACGGGAGGCAGCAGUGGGGAAUAUUGGACAAUGGGCGAAAGCCUGAUCCAGCCAUGCCGCGUGUGUGAAGAAGGUCUUCGGAUUGUAAAGCACUUUAAGUUGGGAGGAAGGGCAGUAAGUUAAUACCUUGGCUGUUUUGACGUUACCAACAGAAUAAGCACCGGCUAACUUCGUGCCAGCAGCCGCGGUAAUACGAAGGGUGCAAGCGUUAAUCGGAAUUACUGGGCGUAAAGCGCGCGUAAGUGGGUUCAGCAAGUUGGAUUGUGAAAUCCCCGGGCUCAACCUGGGAACUGCAUCCAAAACUACUGAGCUAGAGUACGGUAGAAG